UUUGACCUCGGAUCAGGUAGGAAUACCCGCUGAACUUAAGCAUAUCAAUA
RNAcentral lists this ribosomal RNA (50 nucleotides) under Harknessia renispora. Its description in RNAcentral is "partial 28S ribosomal RNA". The record is from RNAcentral. Lineage: Eukaryota; Fungi; Ascomycota; Sordariomycetes; Diaporthales; Harknessiaceae. RNAcentral also lists the same sequence under 12 other names.